GCCAGCAGCCAUAUCGCCCUGCAACUCACAACUGGCAACCCAGUGAAGCUAAGCAGGUGUGAGCCUGGUCAGUACCUGGAUGGGAGACUCCCGGGAAAGUUGAGGUUGCUGCGGGAA
This 117-nucleotide ribosomal RNA is filed under the name Lepisosteus oculatus (spotted gar). The record is from RNAcentral. Lineage: Eukaryota; Metazoa; Chordata; Actinopteri; Semionotiformes; Lepisosteidae.